This 344-nucleotide ribosomal RNA is filed under the name uncultured bacterium. RNAcentral's name for it is "partial 16S ribosomal RNA". It matches the Rfam family "Bacterial small subunit ribosomal RNA", at positions 8 to 366 of the family's 1533-position model. The record is from RNAcentral.
AGAGUUUGAUCCUGGCUCAGGAUGAACGCUAGCGGUGCGCUUAACACMUGCMAGUCSAACGGAUUUCUGGGGCUUGCUCCAGAAGUUAGUGGCSAACGGGCGAGUAUAAAGUUUGUACCUGCCCUGAAGUCGGGGAUAACGCGCCSAAAGGCGUGCUAAUACCGGAUGGUCCCGAGAGGGUAAAGCCGCAAGGCGCUUCMGGAGGGGCAUGCUCCCUAUCAGCUAGUUGGCGGGGUAAAGGCCCACCMAGGCUAUGACGGGUAGUUGGUCUGAGAGGACGGCCMGCCSCMAUGGGACUGAGACMCGGCCCAUGCUCCUACGGGAGGCAGCAGUGAGGAAUCUUC